UACGUAGGUGGCAAGCGUUGUUCGGAAUAACUGGGCGUAAAGGAUGCGUAGGCGGUUAAACAAGUUAUAUGUUAAAUAUAUAGGCUUAACCUGUAGAAAGCAUAUAAAACUGUUUAACUAGAGUGCAGGAGAGGUAAGUGGAAUUCCUAGUGUAGCGGUGAAAUGCGUAGAGAUUAGGAAGAACACCAGUGGCGAAGGCGACUUACUGGACUGUAACUGACGCUGAGGCAUGAGAGCAUGGGGAGCAAACAGG
Molecule: ribosomal RNA, 253 nt
Filed under: uncultured bacterium
Lineage: Bacteria
Description: partial 16S ribosomal RNA
Rfam family: Bacterial small subunit ribosomal RNA
Source: RNAcentral